GAUUCGCUAGCUCAGCUGGUAGAGCACAACACUUUUAAUGUUGGGGUCCUGGGUUCGAGCCCCCAGGCGGAUCA
Molecule: transfer RNA, 74 nt
Filed under: Parabacteroides distasonis
Lineage: Bacteria; Pseudomonadati; Bacteroidota; Bacteroidia; Bacteroidales; Tannerellaceae
Description: tRNA-Lys
Rfam family: tRNA
About the family: Transfer RNA (tRNA) molecules are approximately 80 nucleotides in length.
Source: RNAcentral